RNAcentral lists this long non-coding RNA (3487 nucleotides) under Populus trichocarpa (black cottonwood). RNAcentral describes it as "long non-coding RNA (PTRI_LNC003619)". The record is from RNAcentral. Lineage: Eukaryota; Viridiplantae; Streptophyta; Magnoliopsida; Malpighiales; Salicaceae.
AAACAAAAAGACCUAAAUUAUAAUUAGGUUCAAAACUAGGGACUAAAUAAUAAUUUAAUCUUACCUUUAAUUAGGUGAACGUUGCCAGCCUAUAUUCUAAAAUUUUAUAGCCGUUGUAAAAUCACAAAUAGUAGAAGACACCCCUCUAUAAGAUCACCCUCUUCUUACAACCCUCAGAGUCUCAGACACAGCUUUUGUCUAAAACCAGAACCAAAGUUGCAUAGAAAAAUACGAAAGCAACUAAUCUCUCUUGUUUCUCUGAUUUAUUUAUUACUUUUAUUAUCAAUGGCUGCUCAGGUUAUUGUCUCCAAGACAUUCUUGCUUGUCCUUGUGAUUGCUGCCUUCGCUGUUGCUUCUGCCCAAGAUAGUGAAUCAAUGGCUCCUGCACCUGCACCAGGAAUGGAUGCUGGAGCUGCUGGGUUCUCUUCACCAGUUUCUGGAGCCAUUGUUGGGCUCUCUCUUAUUGUUUCUCUUCUUGGUUUCUUGAAACAUUGAUUAAUCUGUUGUUUCACUUGAUUUUUCAAGCUGGGAGGAGUUUUGGUUGAUUAAAUUAAUAUUUGUCGUGAGAGAGAGAGAGAGAGAGAGAGAAAGGUGAUGGAAAAUUGUUGUAUAUUGGAUUCAUUCUUUGUUAUUAAUUAUUUGUUUACUACAUACAAAAUUAAUGAAGUAAUUACUCUGAUUUUUUAUCCUUUUUUUUAUAAUAACUUUAUUUACUACAUCCAAAAUUAAUGAAAUAAAUAAAUUAUCCUCCUUUAAAUUAAAAAUUUUACUUGGCUACAGAUAAUUUGCUGAAUCAAUCAUCUAAAAUUUGCAAUUGUUUUUUAUCAUGAUUUAAACUAAUGUUAAUAGUUGUAAUAAAUUAAUUUGACUCAUAAAAAGUUAUAUAUUAAUUAAAUAUUAGUCUCAUAUUUAUUAUUUCAGUAUUAUUGAAAAAAAUUGUAAAUCCUCCAUAAAUCUGAAUAAAAAUUCUAGUCACCGAACAUAUAAAGUGGUGGUCGAUGUGUUCUGAGUUUUAAAAUGAUAAAAUCCCUAAAAGACCCAAGUGUACUAGCCUUCUUUUUCUUUUUUGGGACAAGCACGCGAGACUUGUCUCUUUGCUUUUAGGCAUUUACCCCUUUCUAUGGUGUUUCUUUUGAAAAUAUAUUUUUAUUUAUUGAAAUGCAUUAUAAAAAAAUGAUUUAUAAGAUAUUUAAAUUAUUAUUUAAUUUUAUUAUGCUUUUUAGAUUAUAAUAUAUAUUUUUAUAGGAAUGUUAUUUUUUUUAAUUAUUAUGUACCCAUUAUAAAAAUUAAGAAAUAAAAAAUUCAAUGAAAAUAUACCUUUUAUUUUAAUUUUAAUGGAUUUUUAAUAUGAUUUUAUCACAUUUAUUAUUUUCUUCCCUUCAAUUACAUACAAAAUAUUUAUACAUUAUUUUAAUAUUUUUUUAAAAAACUUGCUUUAAGAUCACGAGAAGUUUUUAUUUAAAAAACAAUACUUAUAAUAAAAAAUUAUUUAUGUUAAAACAAUAAAAGAAAUUCAUUAAUAAAAAAAUAUAUUUUAGAUUAAAGAGAAUGCAACUCAAUAAUUUUAUGCAUUCUAUUUUAUAACUAUUUAAUUAAAUAAAAAGUGAAUUCUAAAAAUCAAGGUUACCGGGUCAGAGUUAUAACCUAGAUUAUAAAUUGGAUAGGGUAGCUUGAUUUGACAUAGAUCUAUCUAAAAUAUUUUCAUUUUAAUUUUUUAAUAAAAUAAUAUUAAAUUGAUAUUUUUUUUUAAUUCAAAUCAAUUUUUAAAUAGUUCCAUAAAGUCAUUUGUAUUUAUUAGGUUGAUUGGAUCACACUGUAUCAACUUCCAAUCAACUAAUUUAUUUUGAAAUCCAACCUGAUUAAACCUGACUAAGAGAUCGCCAUAUAACUUAUUAAACUUUAAUGACAUUGUCGGAGAGUUCUUCAUUGUAACACUCUAGAAAGUAGAAACUGCCGUAGUUACGCUAGAAAUAUGAUCAUUCAAUUCAUGAAGUAUUUACUUCUUGUAUAGGAGAUAAUUUAGUUUUAAUUCUACAAAAUACUAGCAUGGUAAAAUUUAUUUAUUUAUUUAUUUUAUUUCUCUUGAAUGUUUACGACAAUUUUCACGUUUUUAUAUCUAAAAUAGUACCAUAAGACGACUCACAUAACAUCAAAAUCAAAAUAAAAUGCGUUUGGCACUUGAGGGUCUAGCUCAGUGGUCAACAGGUGAGGCUUGCCUUGCCUCCCGUCCCAAGUUCGACCCUCCAUGUGCAGCCUGUCACCCCCGCGGUGCCUUACCUGUCUACUGGGCUUGCAGGAUGUUCAGUAGACCCGGAGAAUAGUCGUGGUGCGCGCAAGCUGGUCCGGACACCCUGGAUUAUAAAAAAAUAAUAAUAAUAAAUAAAGUGCGUUUGCUCACGAAGACAAAAAAUUCAUCGAUUUAGCAUUAUACUGAUAAUUAUUGAAACGCUCUAAAAAAAUUUCAGAAUAUUUAUAAGCUUAAAAUAACAUUAAGGGAUUUAAAAAAAAUUAAACCCACCAACCAAAAAAGCGAACCCACAAUUACCUGAAAAGUUCAUCUGGGCAUUGCAUCUUACCUGACCUUAAACCAUGGGCUCGAAGUCACCCGCGAACUUACCGACACACAUUUUCUCACAGACCGCCCGUCUGCUGCAACGUGCUGUGUCCCCAUUCCCCCCAAAGCCCCCAUGCCAGUAUUCCACAGUCUGUACAACUUUUUAGUCACAGCCUGUAUAGCUUUCACACACAAAAGGCAUAGCUGUUCUUGGUGCUGUUGGUGAACGUUGCCAGCCAAUUAUUAUUCUAGAAAUUAGAGUUUCUAGUCGUUGUUGAAGGGCUAUUAAAUAUCAUAGCAAAGGACGCCUUUUAGACCCACCAGCCUUGCAAACCCCCUAUAAAGACUGAAAUUAACGAAGGCUCAAAACACCAAAAAAAAAAACUCCUGUCUAAAACCAAACCAAAGUUACUAAGAACCGUAUCAAUCUAUCCGUCCUUUUCUUUUCAUCUAUAACCUCUUUUAUAAUUAGGAAUGGUCACUCAGGUUAUUAUCUCCAAGGCAUUCUUUCUCCUUCUAGCGAUUGCUGCGUUUGCAGUUGUUUCUGCUCAAGAAAGUGAGAUGGCUCCUGCACCAGCACCUGGAAUGGACGCUGGAGCUGGGUUUUCUUUGCCGGUUUCUGGUGCUGUUGUUGGAUUCUCCCUUGCUCUCUCUCUUCUUGGUUUCUUGAAACGAUAAUUAUUUUGCUGUUUCUUUUCCCAGUGAUGAGAGGAUUUGGUUGGCGUAUUAAUUUGCUGUGAGAGAGUGAUGAGAUGGUGAAUGAUAUAUUGUAUCAUCUGAUUAAUUCUUUUUUUAUUUAAUUUAAUACGUACAGUAAUGAAAUGAUUGUUUUGGUUUAUUUAUCAAAUUUCUACUCUUGUAAUACUAUGAUGCUAUAUUUGAUUUUGAAAUAUGUUUUAGGAAUCCUUUGUUAUUGUUGUUACAACCUUUUUU